GGGUCAGUAGGUUGGUCGUGCCACCGGUACGUACUGGUCUCACUGAUUCCUCCUUCCUGAAGAACCGUAAUGCCAUUAAUUUGGUGUUGCGGGGAAGCAGGACUGUUACUUUGAAAAAGUUAGAGUGUUUAAAGCAAGCUAACGCUUGAAUACAUUAGCAUGGAAUAAUGAAAUAGGACGAUCGAUCCUAUUUUGUUGGUUUCUAGGAUUGACGUA
This 216-nucleotide ribosomal RNA is filed under the name Glomeromycotina sp. RNAcentral's name for it is "partial small subunit ribosomal RNA". The stretch from base 40 to 216 matches the Rfam family "Eukaryotic small subunit ribosomal RNA", at positions 686 to 864 of the family's 1831-position model. Lineage: Eukaryota; Fungi; Glomeromycota. The record is from RNAcentral.